GGAUUUUGACUUGUAUGAAUGCUUUAGAAUAGUAGAGUUUGUCUGAUCCGACAUGCGAAGUGGAUAGUUUAUUUAGGACGGAUACUUCCUAAAGAGUGAUGAAGGUGUGGAAGGUAGGCUCAAGCUAAAAUUCUGCUCGUGAGCAUAAUUGUUUAAUUGUGAGAUCGACUGGUCGAACAGAGAUGAAAGUAGAUCAUAGUGAUCCGGGAGUCUGCUAUGGAAGGACUCUCGCUCAACGAAUCAAAAGUACAC
This 252-nucleotide non-coding RNA is filed under the name Nicotiana sylvestris (wood tobacco). Its description in RNAcentral is "Bacterial large subunit ribosomal RNA". It matches the Rfam family "Bacterial large subunit ribosomal RNA", at positions 2200 to 2468 of the family's 2925-position model. The record is from Rfam by way of RNAcentral. Lineage: Eukaryota; Viridiplantae; Streptophyta; Magnoliopsida; Solanales; Solanaceae.